The sequence is a transfer RNA, 74 nucleotides long. It matches the Rfam family "tRNA". From Rfam's summary of the family: Transfer RNA (tRNA) molecules are approximately 80 nucleotides in length. The record is from Rfam.
GGCCUGGUGGCUCAGCUGGUUAGAGCGCCGCCCUGUCACGGCGGAGGUCGUGGGUUCGAACCCCAUCCGGGUCG